RNAcentral lists this unclassified non-coding RNA (253 nucleotides) under uncultured Moraxellaceae bacterium. Its description in RNAcentral is "contains 16S-23S intergenic spacer region". It matches the Rfam family "Bacterial small subunit ribosomal RNA", at positions 524 to 776 of the family's 1533-position model. The record is from RNAcentral. Lineage: Bacteria; Pseudomonadati; Pseudomonadota; Gammaproteobacteria; Moraxellales; Moraxellaceae.
UACGGAGGGUGCGAGCGUUAAUCGGAUUUACUGGGCGUAAAGCGUGCGUAGGCGGCUUUUUAAGUCGGAUGUGAAAUCCCGGAGCUUAACUUGAGAAUUGCAUUCGAUACUGGGAAGCUAGAGUAUGAGAGAGGAUGGUAGAAUUCGAGGUGUAGCGGUGAAAUGCGUAGAGAUCAGGAAGAAUACCGAUUGCGAAGGCAGCCAUCUGGCCUAAUACUGACGCUGAGGUACGAAAGCAUGGGGAUCAAACAGG